CUAGCGCAGACCCCUCUAAAGCUGGGUCUGAUGUGCACCUCGAGGUUCCAAAGCUUGAAGUUGCAUAUCUAGAAUUCCAAUAUUUGAUAUGUUGGGUCUUUGAGAGGUUGCAAAGCUUGAAGUUGUGCAUCUAGAGUUCCAAUAUUUGAUAUGUUGAUUCUUUGUUCAACUCAAGAUAUGCAUUCUUGAAGAUUUACAACCUCAAGGUGCACAUCAGCCCCAGGUUAGAUGGGUAUGUGCUAG
This 243-nucleotide microRNA precursor is filed under the name Picea abies (Norway spruce). Its description in RNAcentral is "miR11408a stem-loop (pab-MIR11408a)". The record is from miRBase by way of RNAcentral. Lineage: Eukaryota; Viridiplantae; Streptophyta; Pinopsida; Pinales; Pinaceae.